This 907-nucleotide ribosomal RNA is filed under the name Mucilaginibacter sp. H3R25_pA. RNAcentral's name for it is "bacterial SSU rRNA". It matches the Rfam family "Bacterial small subunit ribosomal RNA", at positions 8 to 916 of the family's 1533-position model. The record is from RNAcentral. Lineage: Bacteria; Pseudomonadati; Bacteroidota; Sphingobacteriia; Sphingobacteriales; Sphingobacteriaceae.
AGAGUUUGAUCAUGGCUCAGGAUGAACGCUAGCGGCAGGCCUAAUACAUGCAAGUCGGACGGGAUUGGAGAGCUUGCUUUCCAUGAGAGUGGCGCACGGGUGCGUAACACGUAUGUAACCUACCUUGAUCAGGGGGAUAGCCUCUCGAAAGAGAGAUUAAGACCGCAUAACAUUGCAAUGUGGCAUCACAAAGCAAUCAAAUAUUUAUAGGAUCAAGAUGGGCAUGCGGAACAUUAGCUAGUUGGUAAGGUAACGGCUUACCAAGGCUACGAUGUUUAGGGGAUCUGAGAGGAUGACCCCCCACACUGGUACUGAGACACGGACCAGACUCCUACGGGAGGCAGCAGUAAGGAAUAUUGGUCAAUGGGCGCAAGCCUGAACCAGCCAUGCCGCGUGCAGGAAGACGGCCCUAUGGGUUGUAAACUGCUUUUAUACUGGAAUAAACCUCUUUACGUGUAGAGAGUUGAAUGUACAGUAAGAAUAAGGAUCGGCUAACUCCGUGCCAGCAGCCGCGGUAAUACGGAGGAUCCAAGCGUUAUCCGGAUUUAUUGGGUUUAAAGGGUGCGUAGGUGGUUCUUUAAGUCAGGGGUGAAAGACGGCAGCUUAACUGUCGCAGUGCCUUUGAUACUGAAGAACUUGAAUCCACUAGAGGUAGGCGGAAUGUGACAAGUAGCGGUGAAAUGCAUAGAUAUGUCACAGAACACCAAUUGCGAAGGCAGCUUACUAUGGUGGUAUUGACACUGAGGCACGAAAGCGUGGGGAUCAAACAGGAUUAGAUACCCUGGUAGUCCACGCCCUAAACGAUGAAUACUCGAUGUUGGCGAUAUACGGUCAGCGUCUAAGCGAAAGCGUUAAGUAUUCCACCUGGGGAGUACGCCCGCAAGGUGAAACUCAAAGGAAUUGACGG